Long non-coding RNA from Herpailurus yagouaroundi (jaguarundi), 1732 nucleotides. RefSeq lists it as uncharacterized. Lineage: Eukaryota; Metazoa; Chordata; Mammalia; Carnivora; Felidae. The record is from RefSeq and is a predicted model, not a curated record. The transcript is spliced from 4 exons.
UGCACGGCGGACACCCGCCCCGAAACCGGCGUUCGGAAAGUUCCAGCAGGAGCGAGAGGUCACAGUCCACAAGCUGCGUUUUAUCGUCUAAUGGGACAGUCGAGCCUGCGUGUGAGAAGAUACGUGCCACGCGCGUCUGCCACUCUUGCUGCCGCAUUCUUGAAUUUUGCUGGGCCCACGAGGUGUCAGCAAGACUCCAAAUGAAUACAAGGUGUACCUGUGGGAUAUACUUCCAGAAGUGGAAUUGCUGAAUCAAAAGAAGCUCUUUGUAAAAUGGGCGCUGUGAGUACAGCAGGAACAAAACAAAGUCUCCGCCUUCACAAGGCCAACUUCCCAUGAAUGAUCCCUUUCUAUAACGGGUACUGCUAGAAAGAAUUCUCUUCUUUCAAUACAGAGACUGAGGCCAUGGGCAGCAAUGAUUGAUUACGUUGCCAUUGUCUUCUUCUGUGAGCAAUUUUCCGGGUUGACCUACUCUUCCAGGAAAAUAAUCUAUAUUCCUCAUGGAAUAAAUCAAUUUCCAAAAAUAAGGGAAUGUGCACUCUUGCAGUUAUUAAAAAUCAUGUUCUCAGAAAUAUUUAAAGAAAUGGGGAAGUGCUUAUGAUACAUUACUGCAUACAAAGGCAAGCCACGAAGCACCAGGCACAGCACAAAACCAGUCUCAUAGAAUAUAUCUAGCCAUAAGCAUAGGAAAAAGAGUGGAAAACUGUACCCCAAAUGUUUAUAGUGGUUACCUCUGAGUACUGGGUUAUGGAUGAUUUUAAUUUUCUUUUUUAUCCUUGCUCUGUUUCCUAAUAUUUUUCACAAUGAAUAUGCAUUUUUCUGAAAAUUGGCAAUAAUGGUCAUACAAAUUUUAAAAAUAAUAUUGAACAGAAUGUAAGCUAAACUUUGUGUCUUGAGUGAACAGGAGCCAUUGAUUUGGUGCAAAGCAGGCAGCACUAGGGAAAAGUUUAUCCUUUUCAAUCCUCUGAGCACAUUGAUGCUGAUGCUCAAGUUAUUUUCAGUACUCCAUUCACAUUCAGCAAUAAUAAUUUCAUUUGCCAUUCCCCCCAGAGGCUGUAAGAUUUAUUGGGAACAGCCAACAUUUUAUGAAUCAUGAAUUACAUGAAACCUGGAGAAUACUGUAAGAAUGUAUUCAUGUAAGAAUACAUUCAUGUAAGAAUACUGCAACUCAUCUAAAUCAACUGCAUCUCAAUAAAUUUUUAGUAAACGCAUGGUCAUGCUCCAGGCACUUAGGCCCCAUACCUUAGUCUUGCCCUUACUUCCUCCAUCUUAAUCCCAUGCAACUCUUUUGAUCAGCUAAUGAGUCUUUCUUUGAAAUAUUUCUUGUAGCUAUCUAUUCCUCUCUGACUUCCCAGCUACAAUACCAGUCAUGACUCAGACUAUCUGUUGCCUCCAUUACCACAGCAACCUUCUGUAUCAGACAGGUAUGUGUUCCAAACAAAACUGCGUAAGUUCAAAUGUGGGCUCUACUUCUGCAUGACCUUAGGCAAGUUUCUUGACUUCUCUAUGCAUUUCUUUCUUCUCUUAUAAAAUGGAGUAGCAAUAAUAUCUAAUUUGUUAGUUUGUUGUGAGAAAAUACGUGUAAAAGCACUUAGAACAGCAACUGGGCACAUAGUUAAUGAUCAAUAAAUGUUAGCCAUAUCAAUUAUAUAAUCAAUUUAUUUUCACCUACUUUCGGCCUUCUGGCCAGGUCAACAAUCUUGAGUUACAUCAUGUCACUCCUUUGGUUAUA